Ipomoea nil (Japanese morning glory) is the source of this 1168-nucleotide long non-coding RNA. RefSeq lists it as uncharacterized. The record is from RefSeq and is a predicted model, not a curated record. The transcript is spliced from 8 exons. Lineage: Eukaryota; Viridiplantae; Streptophyta; Magnoliopsida; Solanales; Convolvulaceae.
CAAAAAUUUUCCCUCUCAACUUUCCGCCUUUACGCCUUUCUCAACCCACCUCAACCUCCAUCUCCUCUACCGUUCCUCCAUCUCCAAAACCUAAAUCCGUCGCCUACCGCUUACUACAAGAAAAAUGCCCAAGACUCCAACGUCGCGACAAUCAUUCCCAACGCCUGGGUGUUUGCCGUCAAAAUCGCUCGUCGACAUCGCCGUCUCUGCUGCGCUACAGAUGAGCAAUCAGUGGAGUAAUUCUAAAAAGGCACCGGUUGGGAAAAGCCGAUACAUAUGGUGGUAGUAGAUCGGAGUUAUCCAGUGAAGUGUUAUUUGAUGAUUAUGGACGACCUAUUAAUAUUCCAGGUGGGAAGGAAUAGAAGGGUUCUGAGAGUUUUCCAUGGCCAGACUGACAUGGAUGUGGUAUGUCAGAUUGGACUUGAUGGGAUUAGAAUACUUGAGCCUGCUACAAGCAGAACUCUAAAGAUAUAUCAACUUGAUAAUGUGGCAAGAUGGGAGGUAUUGGAUUCAUAUAUAUUUGCAUUUUGGACCAAAAGCUCUGUUGACACUGAACCUAAAUAGACCGGGCUUAAAUCAAACAGCUAUACCACAAACAAUAUCCUGGAUGUCGUGACAAUAGCAAUUAUUCAGGUCAAUGAAAUGGGUGAAACUAAUAGACCUUCAAAUCUUACCAGAGGUGGAUCUGAGCAACUUGCAUACAUGAAGAAAUGUUUUACUGAUUGGAUGAAAAUAAUGAGGCCACAAAAUGAAGAGAAACAUCACUGGUUUAUGUUGGGCAAACUAUUGAAAGCUUUUCCUUUAAUAGCUUCUUGAUGAAGCAGUCACCAAGUUCAGUAAUUAUUGAAGUGUUGGCACCAUCUUCCUAAUGAGGCUAUUCAAUCUGGGUGUAUGAGUCAUUUCAUAUACUUCAAAUGGGAGCUUGGCCAAAGACAUCUCUUACAAAGGACGCUAAUUAGACUACGAAAAAUGCUUGUGUCUAUGUAAUGAGAACCAUGAAGCGCAUAAGGUCUUUCUUGAAAAUGUAUCUUUGGUCACUACAAUAUUUAGAUUUAGUGAUUGGAAUUGUUCAUUGUAUUUUAAAGUAGAUGAUGAAUUUUUGUGUAUUUUGAAAUACUUUACAUACUUGUAAAAGAUGAUUGUACUAAUGAAUUGAUGCUUUGAUAUU